AUAUUGAUGAGUUUAUUAUCUCACAGAGACUGUAAAAUGAUGCUAUCCAUAAUAUUCGGUGAAUCCAAUAAAAUAAAAUAAAACAAGAGAACGAAAGACUUCUCCUGUGAAAAUAUACAUUAAGGUAUCAAUUUUAUUUUAUUUCGUGAUUGAUAAUGAAUCUUUAUUUUAUACAAAAGAACAGGUCCUCUUAACACUUCAUAACCCAGCUGCCAAAGUUUUAUCUAUAAAUACAUGUCCAAGUGCACCGCUUAACCUACAGAAAUUGAAAUUUCUUUUUCUUUUUCUUUUUUUUCUCUUCUUUGA
RNAcentral lists this long non-coding RNA (306 nucleotides) under Ricinus communis (castor bean). RNAcentral describes it as "long non-coding RNA (RCOM_LNC003157)". The record is from RNAcentral. Lineage: Eukaryota; Viridiplantae; Streptophyta; Magnoliopsida; Malpighiales; Euphorbiaceae.